This 2665-nucleotide long non-coding RNA is filed under the name Sus scrofa (pig). Its description in RNAcentral is "lncRNA (ENSSSCG00005007101.1)". Lineage: Eukaryota; Metazoa; Chordata; Mammalia; Artiodactyla; Suidae. The record is from RNAcentral.
GGAGCUUUGCCAGAAAGUGCUUGGAAAAGUGAGACACAGCCCCCACUUCUCAUUAAAACACUUCGCUGCCAUCAUCCUCUCAGCAAAACAUUAGGUACCUAGUGUUUGAUUUGAACUUUGUUGUCUGUUCUGCAUGAAAAUGCACAGUGCCUGUGGAUGCUACUUCAGGGCUGCUGGGUCAGAAAGUGGGUGUUUUAUGUGCUCUCUCUUUGCAAGGAAGAUGGAAAGACUUUGUCAAAGUGGUUUCCAAGGAGUAACCUGGCAUUUUAUUUUAUUUUAUUUUUUGUCUUUUUUUUUUUUUUUUUUUUUUUUUUUUUUUUUAGCUAUUUCUUGGGCCUCUCCCAAGGCAUAUGGAGGCCGGUGGCUACAGCUCUGAUUCGACGCCUAGACUGGGAACCUCCAUAUGCCUUGGACGCUCCCCAAGAAAUGGCAAAAAGACAAAAUAAAUAAAUAAAUAAAAAUAAAAUAAAAUAGAAUAAAAAGUGAGACGCAAGCCAGUGAAAGAGGGUCACACAUUUUCUUUGGCCAAACCAAAGAAAUAGGGUGAUUUUAUUGAGAGAGGCGGUCUGACCUAGGUGUUCAAGGGCAUAGUUCCAUGGUCCAACUGGCUGGGUGUGAAUCCCACCGCUGCUGCUUAUUUGUCGGAAGACAUUGUCUAAGUUACUCACCCUCUCCGUGCCUCUGUUUCCUCUUCAUCUCUGAAAAGGGUAUAAUAGAAUCUACUUUAUAGGAUCAGUAGGGAUAUACAUAUAUAUUGCUUCAGACAGUCCCUUCCUCCUGCUGAGUAUAAAAUAAUACUACACCAUUAUUAUUUCUAAAGUGCCAAACUUGAAAUUUGCAGACACCUCUGCAAUGGGCUCUAGGUUGUGAUACAACCCGUGCCUCUGCAAUGGCCCAGGUUGUAUCCCAGUGCCAUUGGCUUCCCUGUAGAUACAAGUUCUUAGGCAAGGGUGGGUGGUAAUCAGUUGAGUCCAUGCAGUCCUGUCCCCCAAACAAGACAGAGGCUGUGGACGUCAGCCUGACUCAUGCAUGCAGGGAGUCUGAGGCACUGUGCUCAGAGGACAGGCUCAGGCAGACGUGGGUACUAGGAGUAUCCUGCUAGCAGUCAGCAUCAUGGAAGAUGGCACAAGGCCAGGUAAUGCUGAAUCCUUGGUCCACUUUUGUCCAGAGCUCAAAAGAUAAGACAUGAUCCUAAUUUUCUUCAUCCUUUUGGUCCAAGGACUGAACAUGUCCUGCCUUCCUUUGAUGUGAUUCCAAAGUCUGGCUCAAACGGGAACCUCCCAGCAACAUCAGCCUCUCCCCUUCCUAGCUUACACCAGUUAGAGCCCAUUCUGGAACUGGAGUUGGAGUUCAUGCCACAGACAUUGAAAAUGCAAACAGGGAUAUUUCCCAAAGGAGACGUGGAGUACUGUUUUACCAAAAAAAUUGGAAGGGUGAGGUGAAAAAAACAGCAGAUGUCAUCUGUGCACAUAUGAGGGUGACGCUGAGAUAGUGGUGUUCUCCAGUUAGCACUGGCUCAGAAACCAGGUUUGCGGAAGAUUCAGGUCUGCGGGGAAGGCCGGUCCACAGUCCACCUUGGAGACCGAGACAGGCAGAGCCAGUGGAAAGGAAACAGACAUUGGAAAGAGAUAAUAUUCCCUGGGAGUCUGUUCUGUGCCAGGGUCCUCACUUUGUGGUCUCAUUUAAGCCUCCUCACACCAUGAAGUAGAACUGGGGGUUUCAAGUGGUUGGAGAUGAGGAUAAAGAUAAAUCUGGAGUCUCCCAGGGCAGACUGAGGAAGCAGGCCUCAUAGAGGGGAACAUGGGUGCCGAAGGGCCGGGGACAUGCAGGCAGGUUAAAAAGGGGCUGCUCGGGGUUCCAGCAACACAGUUUUCUUUAGAUGUGAAAUGAUGAAUCACUUCGUUGUUUGAAAGCAGUACAGCCAGCCAGCCAGCCACGCCACGAUCUGGAUCUUGCAACCCACCUAUCUUAUUUUUCAACCAGGAAAAUCCUUUUAAAGAGAUAGAUGUGAAUUCCCGGUGCCGUGUAUAUAUUUGUGCCACAUUUAAUUUCAUUAGCUAUAAUAUCACAUAGCUGCGCUGAUUUAACUGCUCUGACCAGAUGGUAAUGCCGUCUGAAGAAAAAUGGUUCCACGAUGUAAUUGAACAUGUCCUGUUGACAGAGUUACAAUGACCCAUUUUCCCAAUUAAAUAUAGGUGAUUCAGUAAAAUCAACACCGGGUCUAUUUCUCUGCCACCACGUCUAGCUCAGAACAGAAGGGAGGAAUCGUGCUCCAGGGCAGACGCGCUGCACGGGUGACAGGAGUAUAGCCUGGGGGCAGGAAUAAAGGCAGGCCUCCCCUCCCACUCUGGGCAGAAGAGAAGUGGCUGUUGAUACCUAGAUUUGGCCAGUGACCAAGGGGAGAGGCUUGGCUUUCUUAGUUACGACCCUUCUGAAAGUGAUGAUGAAAGUGGACGUGAACAUCAUGACAAGUAGCCGGUACAUUGUGAAACAUGUUGGCCUCUGAGUGGAACCAAGUGUAGCAGAAACAUGGGUGUUGACUCUGGGCAGAUGAGGGUGUUGGUUUUUAUGACUGUUUUCAAUCAAUACAAUUCAUAUAUCAGAACAAGCAUCUGAUGAAUCUGUCACUAAAAAUAUUUUUGCAUGUACUGAAAAAAAAAAAAAA